CCUACGGGUGGCAGCAGUGGGGAAUAUUGGACAAUGGGGGCAACCCUGAUCCAGCCAUGCCGCGUGUGUGAAGAAGGCCCUCGGGUUGUAAAGCACUUUCAGUGAGGAAGAACGCCUGGUGGUUAAUACCCAUCAGGAAAGACAUCACUCACAGAAGAAGCACCGGCUAACUCCGUGCCAGCAGCCGCGGUAAUACGGAGGGUGCGAGCGUUAAUCGGAAUUACUGGGCGUAAAGCGCGCGUAGGUGGCUUGAUAAGCCGGUUGGGAAAGCCCCGGGCUCAACCUGGGAACGGCAUCCGGAACUGUCAAGCUAGAGUGCAGGAGAGGAAGGUAGAAUUCCCGGUGUAGCGGUGAAAUGCGUAGAGAUCGGGAGGAAUACCAGUGGCGAAGGCGGCCUUCUGGACUGACACUGACACUGAGGUGCGAAAGCGUGGGUAGCAAACAGGAUUAGAUACCCGAGUAGUC
Molecule: ribosomal RNA, 465 nt
Filed under: Vreelandella stevensii
Lineage: Bacteria; Pseudomonadati; Pseudomonadota; Gammaproteobacteria; Oceanospirillales; Halomonadaceae
Description: partial 16S ribosomal RNA
Rfam family: Bacterial small subunit ribosomal RNA
Source: RNAcentral